AUGGCUGUCGUCAGCUCGUGUCGUGAGAUGUUGGGUUAAGUCCCGCAACGAGCGCAACCCUCGUUCUAUGUUGCCAGCACGUGAUGGUGGGGACUCAUAGGAGACUGCCGGGGUCAACUCGGAGGAAGGUGGGGACGACGUCAAAUCAUCAUGCCCCUUAUGUCUUGGGCUUCACGCAUGCUACAAUGGCCAGUACAAAGGGCUGCGAGACCGUAAGGUGGAGCGAAUCCCAAAAAGCUGGUCUCAGUUCGGAUCGGGGUCUGCAACUCGACCCCGUGAAGUCGGAGUCGCUAGUAAUCGCAGAUCAGCAACGCUGCGGUGAAUACGUUCCCGGGCCUUGUACACACCGCCCGUCACGUCAUGAAAGUCGGUAACACCCGAAGCCGGUGGCCCAACCCUUGUGGAGGGAGCCGUCGAAGGUGGGACUGGCGAUUAGGACGAAGUCGUAACAAGGUAGCCGUACCGGAAGGUGCGGCUGGAUCACCUCCUUUCUAAGGAGCACUCAAGAUCAUUCACCGUUUUCGGUGGGUGGUUUUCAGAUAGCCAUAGCUCACGCGACGCCUGGUGGAAUUCUUCUGCUGGGGUUUGUUGUGGGGUGGUUGCUCAAGGGUGGAACAUCGAUUAGUUGGCUGCCGUGCAUUGUGGUGCUUGUCUAGUACGACCUGGGCUUCCUUCGGGGGGUUCGUGGUGGGAACGGGAGGUGCUGGGUGUGGGGUGGCUUGGACACGCUGUUGGGUCCUGAGGGAGCGGGCACAUGUUGGUGUGUGCGUGUUGCUUCACGGGCCGGCCUCGCGUUGGUGGGGUUGGUGUUGGGAUUCUGCCUUGCGGUCGUACCGCCUGGGGUGCUCUGAGGUUGGGGUGUUGUGGGUUGGCGUCGUGUGUGGGUGGGUUCUGCCCGUUGCUUGAGAACUGUACAGUGGACGCGAGCAUCUUUGUUUCUGUGUGAUUUGUGUUUUGUUGGGUGUUGUUGUGUGCAAGUUUUUAAGGGCGCACGGUGGAUGCCUUGGCACCAGGAGCCGAUGAAGGACGUAGGAGCCUGCGAUAAGCCUCGAGGAGCUGGCAACCGAGCUGUGAUUCGAGGAUUUCCGAAUGGGGAAACCCGG
This 1103-nucleotide small RNA is filed under the name uncultured Kineosporiaceae bacterium. RNAcentral describes it as "bacterial SSU rRNA". The stretch from base 1 to 491 matches the Rfam family "Bacterial small subunit ribosomal RNA", at positions 1045 to 1533 of the family's 1533-position model. Lineage: Bacteria; Bacillati; Actinomycetota; Actinomycetes; Kineosporiales; Kineosporiaceae. The record is from RNAcentral.